AAGAUGGCGACCGGCGCACGGGUGAGUAACACGUAUCCAACCUGCCGAUAACUCCGGAAUAGCCUUUCGAAAGAAAGAUUAAUACCGGAUAGCAUACGAAUAUCGCAUGAUAUUUUUUAUUUAAAGAAUUUCGGUUAUCGAUGGGGAUGCGUUCCAUUAGUUUGUUGGCGGGGUAACGGCCCACCAAGACUACGAUGGAUAGGGGUUCUGAGAGGAAGGUCCCCCACAUUGGAACUGAGACACGGUCCAAACUCCUACGGGAGGCAGCAUG
RNAcentral lists this ribosomal RNA (271 nucleotides) under uncultured bacterium. Its description in RNAcentral is "partial 16S ribosomal RNA". It matches the Rfam family "Bacterial small subunit ribosomal RNA", at positions 85 to 353 of the family's 1533-position model. The record is from RNAcentral.